This 245-nucleotide long non-coding RNA is filed under the name Mytilus galloprovincialis (Mediterranean mussel). Lineage: Eukaryota; Metazoa; Mollusca; Bivalvia; Mytilida; Mytilidae. The record is from RNAcentral.
CUCGGACUUCUCUUGAACUGAAUUUUAAAUGUGCGUAUUGUUAUGCGUUUACUUUUCUACAUUGGCUAGAGGUAUAGGGGGAGGGUUGAGAUCUCAUAAACAUGUUUAACCCCGCCACAUUUUUGCGCCUGUCCCAAGUCAGGAGCCUCUGGCCUUUGUUAGUCUUGUAUUAUUUUAAUUUUAGUUUCUUGUGUACAAUUUGGAAAUUAGUAUGGCGUUCAUUAUCACUGAACUAGUAUAUAUUU